RNAcentral lists this long non-coding RNA (319 nucleotides) under Manihot esculenta (cassava). RNAcentral's name for it is "long non-coding RNA (MESC_LNC013176)". The record is from RNAcentral. Lineage: Eukaryota; Viridiplantae; Streptophyta; Magnoliopsida; Malpighiales; Euphorbiaceae.
UCGACAAAAGAAAAUUUAACACUACAGCAUAUCAUGAACUCCUUCAGCGUAAUCCAAUGUAAUGGAUGCGAUGCAACGCAACAUUUUCGGCUCAAAUGAGAAAAGAAACUGGGCCGCGGGAAAUAAAACGCGGUUUUUUUAGAAAGGUUUGCGAAAUAAGAGACUCAUGAAAUUAGGGCUGCUCAUUUAAAACUUAUUAUCGGGAACCUAAGAAACUCGUUUAAUAAAAACUUAUUCAUUUGAUGGGUCGAGGUGCUGUGAGAAUUUCAACACAUAAUAGGUCCACGUGAUGCUGCACAAGGGUCGCCUAAAGANNNNN